Long non-coding RNA from Eptatretus burgeri (inshore hagfish), 1905 nucleotides. NCBI's taxonomy places the organism in Eukaryota, Metazoa, Chordata, Myxini, Myxiniformes, Myxinidae. The record is from Ensembl.
CACACACACACACACACACACACACACACACACACACACACACACACACACACACACACACACACACACACACUUCUCAACUGGGCAGUACUGUGUGUCUGCAUCUUCACCAAAAUCGAAUCAAUUCGUCCUUGUCACACACAAACCUAUCCACCCAGUUUCAUCCGAAUACGUCCAUAACAUUUUGAGAUAUCCUGUCGCAGAUAAACAGACAAACAGUGGUGAAAAUAUAACCAAUGUCCACCUUUGGUGGCUGAGAUAAACAUACAUUACUCCUUGUUUUUUGUUUCCUAUGUGCUGAAAAUAUGAAUUCCAACAUUGAUAUGCAAUAAAUAAACAUGUGUUUUACAGGUUGUGUAACCUGACUAAUCCGAUCUCCAUCUUUUUUACAGAACUUUUCCACAUCCUGCACUCAUCUCAUCAUCAAGAAACCAGAUAAAAGUGAAAAAUUCCUUGCCGCUUGUGCAGCAGGUAACAACCAUUUUGGGCUUUGCUGAUAAUUGCAGCACAUGAUCUGGUUUUAAAAGAGGUUUUGAUUGAUUCAAAUGUUUUGCAAUUAUUUACUGAUAAGUUCAGAGAAGAACACCUGUGAUUGCUGCUCCUUCGUGGCAGUUUGGUGCUUUUCCCACAAUUUGUUGAUGAAUUUGCAAAAGUAGGGUAGGCCAGUUGACCUCUCCCAACAGGAUGUGACUAGGUUCACCUCACAUGCAGUGUUGAACCACACACAAACAGCUCCACAUGCCCCCUCCCCUUCCUUGGGGCAGUGCUGCAUGUACCAACACCAACCAGUGCCUGAUAGACGGGUUCGAAGGAGGGGGCGCAGACAGAAGACCUGCAGAGCCAAUGUGGAGUUCUGUACCCCAUUGGUGUCCUGAGUCCCUUGUACAUCCAUGCCCAACGGAGUGAGGUCGGACAUGUGUUGUUGGUGGGAAAUGGUUCAAGUACAGAAUGUCAAGGAAGGAAAGAACAUGAACUUGGAUAUGGGUUUUGCAAAAAGAUUACAUCCUGGAGAGUGCACAGAUUGGGCACUGGCUAAAUGAAGAGAACUUUGAAUGGUUAUGUGAGCCUGGAGGUGUCUCAGAAUCUGCAAGCCACCAUGAGGUGUCUCAUCUGUGGAGGAAGCAUAUUGCUACUCAAGGAGGCAGAGGUGCCUUCUUUGGCUGGAAAGUCGUGCUGGAACAGUUUGUGGAUGAGCAGCUCUACUGGAGACUUCUCAGGAUAUUACUGGCUGGACAAGCCAAGAUUUACCCCAAAAUUCCAUCAGACAAGGAUGUGACGUUUGUCAUUCGGAUGGACAAGCGUACCUUCUCUCCGUCUGUGGAAGGAUUGCCGUGUGUAACAGCCACAUACAUAGGAAAGCACUUAUUGAAGAUACAAGAGGAGUUGCAGACCGAAAGUAUUCCCUGUAAUCCAAUCAAGAAGUUUCGUCGCUGCAGGGAGGACAGUGAGGAACUGAACAAUGCGUCCAAUGUACUGCUGAACGAGCGUGUAGAAACGUUAAACAAUUUCAUUAGCAGCAAGCAGUUUAUGUGCAGUUUCUACCAUGGCUCUUACACAGUUGACUGCAGUUUCAGCGAGACAACAAUGUGUCAUCAGGUAAGGCAUUGAUUGAACUUUCUUUAUAAUCCCGUCUUCAAGUGCAUGCUGUUUAUUUUCAAAUCUGGUUUGCUGCAUGCAAUACCUUCUUUUUUCAAUCUUGUUUUUGCGGAUUCAGGUCCGAAAAAUGAGGCAGUCUGCAGUGAAAAGGGUACAAAACAAGAUUGAUUGUGAAUAUAUUACUCAGGCCUUGAGUGAUAUUCGCUCGAAUAUUUGUGUGAAAUUGCGUCCGGGGGGGGGGGGGGGGGGGGGGGGGGGGGGGGGGGGGGGGGGGGGGGGGGGGGGGGGGGGGGGGGGGGGGGGGGGGGG